AGAGCGAACGCUGGCGGCAGGCUUAACACAUGCAAGUCGAGCGGAUGUAGCAAUACAUCAGCGGCAGACGGGUGAGUAACACGUGGGAACGUACCUCUUGGUUCGGAACAACACAGGGAAACUUGUGCUAAUACCGGAUAAGCCCUUACGGGGAAAGAUUUAUCGCCGAAAGAUCGGCCCGCGUCUGAUUAGCUAGUUGGUGAGGUAAUGGCUCACCAAGGCGACGAUCAGUAGCUGGUCUGAGAGGAUGAUCAGCCACAUUGGGACUGAGACACGGCCCAAACUCCUACGGGAGGCAGCAGUGGGGAAUAUUGGACAAUGGGCGCAAGCCUGAUCCAGCCAUGCCGCGUGAGUGAUGAAGGCCCUAGGGUUGUAAAGCUCUUUUGUGCGGGAAGAUAAUGACGGUACCGCAAGAAUAAGCCCGGCUAACUUCGUGCCAGCAGCCGC
Molecule: ribosomal RNA, 447 nt
Filed under: uncultured bacterium
Lineage: Bacteria
Description: SSU rRNA
Rfam family: Bacterial small subunit ribosomal RNA
Source: RNAcentral